Molecule: ribosomal RNA, 838 nt
Filed under: uncultured archaeon
Lineage: Archaea
Description: bacterial SSU rRNA
Rfam family: Archaeal small subunit ribosomal RNA
Source: RNAcentral
AGGUUACUGCUAUCGGUGUUCGCCUAAGCCAUGCGAGUCAUAUGUUCGUAAGAACAUGGCGUACUGCUCAGUAACACGUGGAUAACCUGCCCUUGGGUCCGGCAUAACCCCGGGAAACUGGGGAUAAUUCCGGAUAACGCACAUAUGCUGGAAUGCUUUAUGCGUAAAAUGGAUUCGUCUGCCCAAGGAUGGGUCUGCGGCCUACCAGGUAGUAGUGGGUGUAAUGUACCUACUAGCCUACGACGGGUGCGGGUUGUGAGAGCAAGAGCCCGGAGAUGGAUUCUGAGACAUGAAUCCAGGCCCUACGGGGCGCAGCAGGCGCGAAAACUUUACAAUGCGGGAAACCGUGAUAAGGGGACACCGAGUGCCAGCAUCCUAUGCUGGCUGUCCGGGUGUGUAAAAUACACCUGUUAGCAAGGGCCGGGCAAGACCGGUGCCAGCCGCCGCGGUAACACCGGCGGCCCGAGUGGUGAUCGUGAUUAUUGGGUCUAAAGGGUCCGUAGCCGGUUUGGUCAGUCCUCCGGGAAAUCUGACAGCUUAACUGUUAGGCUUUCGGAGGAUACUGCCAGACUUGGAACCGGGAGAGGUAAGAGGUACUACAGGGGUAGGAGUGAAAUCUUGUAAUCCCUGUGGGACCACCUGUGGCGAAGGCGUCUUACCAGAACGGGUUCGACGGUGAGGGACGAAAGCUGGGGGCACGAACCGGAUUAGAUACCCGGGUAGUCCCAGCCGUAAACGAUGCUCGCUAGGUGUCAGGCAUGGCGCGACCGUGUCUGGUGCCGCAGGGAAGCCGUGAAGCGAGCCACCUGGGAAGUACGGCCGCAAGGCUGAAACUUAA